GUCUAACGAGGUGAGGGAGAAGAGGAGACCACAAAGGGGGUGGCGGGCAAAACUAAGAAACACAAAGAGAAACAACUUGGCCGAGGCCCGAGGCCCUUUUACGAAGAAACCGGUUCUACGGAACCGGAGCGGAGACAAUUUGGGUCAGGAUGCACAAACGCUAUUUUAGUAACUCUAAAACAGGGCGUUUGGUGGGGACUUCGGCUAUAGGAACUGGUCCCAUACUUGGGAGACUGAUGGUGACGGCCAAAAGUUAGCACUUAGGUAGUUAAAUACAACAGAAAAGACAUGUCGUGAGAAAGUAGAAUGCGGGAGAAGUCCGAACUCCGCGGAAGGCGGCAGCUGCGCAAGCUUCUUUCUUUGGGAUUUGCACUUGGCUGACCCAGGAGAAGUGCGGCUCUGGGGCCACACACUGCAGAGCCUGGUUUGUCUUGUUAACUUGUUGCUAGAUAAGACUUCACCAACCCAGCCGUAGUCCCCGGGCCUUUUCCACUCUCAAACACCAGCAAUCCCAUCAGGGUGUUUUGUUUUCUGGGAUGUAGUUCAUUUAAGGCUGGGCACUCAAAUACUGCAGACAAUAUAGCAUACAUUUACUAUCACCCUGCCUCACCCCCAUGCAAGCUUGGAGGAAUAGCAACAUUGUAUACCUCGGAGAACUACACUCAUUAUUUUGUAAUAACCUAUGAGGGAUAAGAAUCAGAAAAAGAAUACAUAUAUACACAUAUAUAACCAUAUAUAGCUCUCUGUCUCUCUCUCUAUGUAUCAACUGAAUCACUGUGCUAUACACCUGAAACUAAAUGAUGACACUGUAAAUCAACUGUACUUCAACUAAAAAAAUAAUUUAAAAAUAAAACAAAGUAGCAACAGAACUUUGUCUGCCUUCUCUGUUUGUGUGCCAGAGGCCAACUGAUAUUUGCUGAAUGAAGGGAUUUAAGUGGGGAACAGUUUCCUUAGAUCAUUUUGCUCCUUUUGGAGCUCAGGUCCUUAGGUGUUCUACCCUCCGCAGUCUAAAGAUUCUCCUGAAGAAGUGAGAACAAAAUGGAAGUUAAGCAUUUUGCUUUAUUUUAACAAUUGUUUAUUGUGCCCCUCCUAUGUAGUAUGGUAGAGGAUAAUGAGCAAAAGCCAAAUAUUAACCAAGGAGUUAUAUUAAUGGGGGCAUAAUUAUUAACAGCAAGAAGUGCACUAAGGAAAAGAAUAUUAUUCUAUGAUAAGAGUAUGAUGGAAGAGCCUUGAUCAGGGAGGGGCAUUAUAUCAAUUAACUUAUCUGAAGAAUCAGGAGAAAUUAACUAGUAAAAAGUAAAGGUGGGAUGGUGGAGUGGGACCAGCAUUCAAGAGACAAAGGCACUGCAGAAAAAAACAAUUUUAGCAGGAACCAGUGCAUCAGAGGCUAUAUUGAACCUAUGUCUCCUCUCUUCCUGCUUCAGACAUAACUAUAAGAAAUUACUUAUGUUGUCUUGAAGUUCCCUUCAUGGCUCGGUGGUUAACAAACUCAACUAGCAUCCAUGAGGAUGAGUGUUCAAUCCCUGGCCUCACACAGUGGGUUAAGGAUCCGUCAUUGCUGUGAGCUGUGGUGUAGGUCACAGACAUGGCUUGGGUCCCAUGUUGCUCUGGCUGUGGUGUAGGCCAGCAGCUGUAGCUCUAAUUAGACCCCUAGCCUGGGAACUUCCAUAUGCUGUGAGUGCGGCCCUGAAGAGCUAAAUAAAUAAAUAAAUUAAUUAAUUAAAUUACUUGUAUUGUCUUUACCCUCCUACUUUCCCCAAACUUCACAUUAUUAUGGGUUUUAGGACCCACUUUGUCUCCUGAAUAUUAAUUCUUCUGUCUUAAUGCUUUUUAAUUUUUUUAAUCAAAAAAAAAUUUUUGGCUGUGCUUGUGGCUUGCAGAAGUUCCUAGACCAGGCAUCAAACUCACACCACAGCAGUGACAACACCAGAUCCCUAACCUGCUGAGCCCCAAGGGAAUUCUUCUUAAUGUUUUUUUAAAGCUGAGCUCUUUGAUUUUGUGUUUUAUCUCCUUUCUCUUAAGAUGACAAUAUUAGUUUUUAAUAAUACUAUCAUAGUUACUUAUUUGCUUUAUCCAUAUAUAAUUAUAUACACAUAUAAAUAUGUAUACAUAUAUACAUAUAUAUAUAAAACAGAAUGACAAUAUUGCUAACA
RNAcentral lists this long non-coding RNA (2153 nucleotides) under Sus scrofa (pig). RNAcentral describes it as "lncRNA (ENSSSCG00045025802.1)". Lineage: Eukaryota; Metazoa; Chordata; Mammalia; Artiodactyla; Suidae. The record is from RNAcentral.